This 121-nucleotide microRNA precursor is filed under the name Lupinus angustifolius (narrow-leaved blue lupine). RNAcentral describes it as "mir-395 microRNA precursor family". It matches the Rfam family "mir-395 microRNA precursor family". From Rfam's summary of the family: mir-395 was identified in both Arabidopsis thaliana and Oryza sativa computationally and was later experimentally verified. mir-395 is thought to target mRNAs coding for ATP sulphurylases. The mature sequence is excised from the 3' arm of the hairpin. The record is from Rfam by way of RNAcentral. Lineage: Eukaryota; Viridiplantae; Streptophyta; Magnoliopsida; Fabales; Fabaceae.
UUGUAUCUUGGAGUUCCUUUGAACGCUUCAUGUGAGGGGCUAGCUAGUCUAGUUAUCUAAACACCCUUUGGAAAGGAUAGUCCUUCUUUAAUGAAGUGUUUGGGGGAACUCUUAGGUUCAA